Oncorhynchus tshawytscha (Chinook salmon) is the source of this 454-nucleotide long non-coding RNA. NCBI's taxonomy places the organism in Eukaryota, Metazoa, Chordata, Actinopteri, Salmoniformes, Salmonidae. The record is from Ensembl.
UGAUCUUUCUUCGAACCCAAUUUAUUAACACACAAGGUCCAAAAAAACACUACUAAGGGUCUUCAGAAGACGCAAUAGUUCCUGUCUUUGACUUCAGGGAAUAGGGUGGUCAAUACACUGCAGAUCUAAUGAGAGUGACAGACAGAAACAUGGCUAGAAAAUAAGAGAAUCAGUACAACUACCAGCUAAAGAAGGGAAUAAAAAGAAGCCAGGCAGUGAUUGAGUGACUGUGUUCUUUAUAAUCGUGAGAGAUAUACAAACGAGAAAAACAAACAGAAAAAAACUAAAAAGGAGGUGGAGGGGAUGUGGAGGGGAUAUGGAGGGGAUAUGGAGGGGAUGGGGUGGAGGGAUGGAGGGGAUAUGGAGGGGAUGUGGAGGGGAUAUGGAGGGGAUAUGGAGGGAGGGGGAUGUGGAGGGGAUAUGGAGGGGAUAUGGAGGGGAUAUGGAGGGGAUG